GACGAACGCUGGCGGCGUGCUUAACACAUGCAAGUCGAACGGAAAGGCCCCUUUGGGGGUACUCGAGUGGUGAACGGGUGAGUAACACGUGAGUAACCUGCACUUGCCUUCGGGAUAACUUCAGGAUACUGGGGCUAAUACCGGUAAGGAAUACUUGCUUCAUGGUGGGGGUUGGAAAGCUUCGGCGGGUUUGGAUGGACUCGCGGCGUAUCAGCUUGUUGGUGGGGUAGUGGGUUACCAAGGCUUCGACGGGUAGCCAGCCUGCGUGGGCGACCGGCGACAUUGGGACUUACGGGCGGCCCAGGCACCGACUGGAGGGAGCAGGGGGGAAGAUUGCACAAGGGGCGGAGGGCGGGUGCAGCAACGCCUCGGGCGGGAUGACGGCCUUCGGGGUGUAAACCGCUUGCAGCAGUGGCGAAGCUUGUGGUGACGGUACCUGCAGAGGAAGCACCGGCUAACUACGUG
Molecule: ribosomal RNA, 465 nt
Filed under: uncultured bacterium
Lineage: Bacteria
Description: partial 16S ribosomal RNA
Rfam family: Bacterial small subunit ribosomal RNA
Source: RNAcentral